This 718-nucleotide ribosomal RNA is filed under the name cf. Piloderma reticulatum sp. 212_Ny3.E1-4.1. RNAcentral's name for it is "eukaryotic LSU rRNA". The stretch from base 194 to 348 matches the Rfam family "5.8S ribosomal RNA". Lineage: Eukaryota; Fungi; Basidiomycota; Agaricomycetes; Atheliales; Atheliaceae. The record is from RNAcentral.
GAAAUUAUUGGUGAGGGUUGCAGCUGGCCUUUCGAGGCAUGUGCACGCUCGAGCCCUUAAUCCACUUUACACCUGUGCACUUAAUGUAGGUCGCCCUUAAAAAAGGUGACCUAUGUCUUAUCAUCAACCCAUCGUAUGUCUCAUAGAAUGUAAUCGAUAUCCUCGCCCUAAAAAAGCGUUGAUAAACUUAUACAACUUUCAACAACGGAUCUCUUGGCUCUCGCAUCGAUGAAGAACGCAGCGAAAUGCGAUAAGUAAUGUGAAUUGCAGAUUUUCAGUGAAUCAUCGAAUCUUUGAACGCACCUUGCGCUCCUUGGUAUUCCGAGGAGCAUGCCUGUUUGAGUGUCAUUAAAUUCUCAACUCCAAGGGUUUCACGACCUUUCGGAGAUUGGACUUGGAGGUGCUGGCCGCAUAUUGGUCGGCUCCUCUCAAAUGCAUCAGCGGAAUUCAACCUUUGGCUUCCGGAUGUCAGUGUGAUAAUCAUGUUGCGCUGUCGUUUGAUCCCUCAGAGUCCGCUUAUAAUGGUCUUCGGACAAAAUCAUCAUCAAAUUUGACCUCAAAUCAGGUAGGACUACCCGCUGAACUUAAGCAUAUCAAUAAGCGGAGGAAAAGAAACUAACAAGGAUUCCCCUAGUAACUGCGAGUGAAGCGGGAAAAGCUCAAAUUUAAAAUCUGGCGGUCUUGCGGCCGUCCGAGUUGUAAUCUGGAGAAGCGUCUA